Long non-coding RNA from Mauremys mutica (yellowpond turtle), 943 nucleotides. RefSeq lists it as uncharacterized. NCBI's taxonomy places the organism in Eukaryota, Metazoa, Chordata, Testudines, Geoemydidae. The record is from RefSeq and is a predicted model, not a curated record. The transcript has 4 exons.
CCCAGACAACAGUCAUUUCAGGGCACCACGGUGCUGAAAGAAGCCCAAAGGGCACAACCCCGUUUAAAAAAAGCAUUUUUCUGGUCACCUUUAAUACAUCUACGGGGAGGAAAUGCCAUGGGAUUAUUUGGUAAAUACAGAGCAGGCGGGAAUGGACACGUUUGGCAAACGAUAUCUAUAUCUAGGGAGAGAGAGAGUCAACAUUUUUCAAAAUUCAAGUUUCUUUUUUUUUUUACCAACUCUAGCUAAAUAGCCCUGCACUGCUCUGUCUUGUGCAUGCAAUGUGCAUGCAAAGGAUAUAUAAAAUAAUAUAAAUAGGAGAGUGAGAUAGAUAAAGGAAUUUCCUGCUAUAUCCUGGGGAGGCUUCAUUGAAUUAAGUGAACCGCAGGAAGACUCGCAGCACUGGGGGACAUGAUGAUUUCUUCAAGGAGACAUAGUUGAGGGACAUAGCGAAAAACAAUUCAAGGUUGUUGGUGAUGUUCAAAGAACAGCUUCAGAUGGCCCAGCCCAGGCCCAGGGUGGCACAUGUGGACAGGAGGAGCACCACUUGAUCCCGCACCUGUGACUGGGAGCUGCCCUUGACCAGCCAGUCGUCAAGAUAGGGGAAGAUCUGGACCCCACAAUGUCUGAGGAGGAGUCACACUCAGAGGCUUGCCAUGUGAAAGGGGUCACCCGUACAAUAUGGUGCAAGGAGUUCUGCGCCUCACUGGACAGCCCAGACAGCAGGAACCAUGACACCCUCCUCAUGAACACAGCGGAGGCCAUAGAUCUUGCAGCCUUAUCUGCGGCAUCUGACGCUGCCUGCAGGGUUGCCCUGGCAGCCGCUGUGCCCUCCUCAAGCAGAGCUUUGAACUCCUUCUUGUCACGCUCCUGGAGGGAGUCUUCGAAUUUGGGUAGAGUGCCCCACAAAUUGAACUCAUACCGACCUAGGAGAGCCUGAUAG